UACGAGGGGGGCGAGCGUUGUUCGGAAUUACUGGGCGUAAAGCGUGCGCAGGCGGUUUUGUAAGACUGUCGUGAAAUCCCCGGGCUCAACCUGGGAAUGGCGAUGGUGACUGCAAGGCUAGAGUUUGGCAGAGGGGGGUAGAAUUCCACGUGUAGCAGUGAAAUGCGUAGAUAUGUGGAGGAACACCGAUGGCGAAGGCAGCCCCCUGGGUCAAAACUGACGCUCAUGCACGAAAGCGUGGGGAGCAAACAGG
RNAcentral lists this ribosomal RNA (253 nucleotides) under uncultured bacterium. RNAcentral's name for it is "partial 16S ribosomal RNA". It matches the Rfam family "Bacterial small subunit ribosomal RNA", at positions 524 to 776 of the family's 1533-position model. The record is from RNAcentral.